RNAcentral lists this ribosomal RNA (510 nucleotides) under uncultured bacterium. RNAcentral describes it as "partial 16S ribosomal RNA". It matches the Rfam family "Bacterial small subunit ribosomal RNA", at positions 28 to 507 of the family's 1533-position model. The record is from RNAcentral.
GACGAACGCUGGCGGCGUGCUUAACACAUGCAAGUCGAACGAAGAGCGAUGGAAGCUUGCUUCUAUCAAUCUUAGUGGCGAACGGGUGAGUAACGCGUAAUCAACCUGCCCUUCAGAGGGGGACAACAGUUGGAAACGACUGCUAAUACCGCAUACGAUCCAAUCUCGGCAUCGGGACUGGAUGAAAGGUGGCCUCUAUUUAUAAGCUAUCACUGAAGGAGGGGAUUGCGUCUGAUUAGCUAGUUGGGGGGGUAACGGCCCACCAAGGCGAUGAUCAGUAGCCGGUCGGGAGGGAGGAACGGCCAAGUGGGGAAGAAAACACGCCCAGAACCGCGGGGGGGGGCGGCGGGGGGGAAUCCUCCGGAAGGGAGAAAAGUCUGACGGGGCAACGCCGGGGGGGGGAGGGCGGCUUUGGGUUUGAAAAGAUUUUUUAAGCGGGAGAAAUGGUUUUUGUGAGAAUAGCGGGAGGUUUUGAGGGUACCGAAAAAGAAAGCCACGGCAAACUACGGG